GACGAACGUUGGCGGUGCGCUUAAUGCAUGCAAGUCGAGGGAGAACCGUCCGUUCCGCAAGGUUCGGAUUGGGGAAACCGGCGAACGGGUGCGUAACACGUGAGGAAUCUGCCCCAAAGACCGGGAUAGCCCGGGGAAGCCCGGAUUAAUACCGGAUACCCUCUUCGGACCGCAUGGUCUGAUGAGGAAAUGGUCAGCCGCUUUGGGAUGGCCUCGCGGCCUAUCAGCUUGUUGGUGAGGUAACGGCUCACCAAGGCUAAGACGGGUAGCUGGUCUGAGAGGACGAUCAGCCACACUGGGACUGAGACACGGCCCAGACUCCUACGGGAGGCAGCAGCAGGGAAUAUUGCACAAUGGGCGAAAGCCUGAUGCAGCGACACCGCGUGCGGGAUGAAGGCCCUCGGGUUGUAAACCGCUUUCAGGAGGGACGAAACUGACGGUACCUCCAGAAGAAGGCCCGGCCAACUACGUG
Molecule: ribosomal RNA, 472 nt
Filed under: uncultured bacterium
Lineage: Bacteria
Description: bacterial SSU rRNA
Rfam family: Bacterial small subunit ribosomal RNA
Source: RNAcentral